This 405-nucleotide ribosomal RNA is filed under the name uncultured eukaryote. Its description in RNAcentral is "eukaryotic LSU rRNA". It matches the Rfam family "Eukaryotic large subunit ribosomal RNA", at positions 1101 to 1508 of the family's 3401-position model. The record is from RNAcentral.
AUUGAGACAGAAUGCGUGUUCCUAGUCGGCAUUUUUGGUAAGCAGAACUGGCGAUGAGGGAUGAACCUAACGUUGAGUUAAGGUGCCCAACUAUACGCUCAUGAGAUACCACAAAAGGUGUUGAUUCAUCUAAACAGCAGGACGGUGGACAUAAAAGUCGUCAUCCGCUAAGGAGUGUGUUACAACUCACCUGCCGAAUGAAUUAGCCCUAGAAAAUGGAUGGCGCUAAAGCGUAUGACCGAUACUCAACCAUCAAUAACAAAAGAAAGUAGUGAUGAGUAGGAGGGCGUGGGUGUUGUAAGAAGAUUAUGGCGUGAGCCUGAUUGGAACGACAUCUAGUGCAGAUCUUGGUGGUAGUAGCAAAUAGCCAAUUGGAAACGUUGGCGGCCGAAGUGGAGAAGGGAU